GAUGAACGCUGGCGGCGUGCCUAAUACAUGCAAGUCGAGCGAACAGAUGAGGAGCUUGCUCCUCUGACGUUAGCGGCGGACGGGUGAGUAACACGUGGAUAACCUACCUAUAAGACUGGGAUAACUUCGGGAAACCGGAGCUAAUACCAGAUAAUAUAUUGAACCGCAUGGUUCAAUAGUGAGAGACGGUUUUGCUGUCACUUAUAGAUGGAUCCGCGCCGCAUUAGCUAGUUGGUAAGGUAACGGCUUACCAAGGCGACGAUGCGUAGCCGACCUGAGAGGGUGAUCGGCCACACUGGAACUGAGACACGGUCCAGACUCCUACGGGAGGCAGCAGUAGGGAAUCUUCCGCAAUGGGCGAAAGCCUGACGGAGCAACGCCGCGUGAGUGAUGAAGGUCUUCGGAUCGUAAAACUCUGUUAUUAGGGAAGAACAAAUGUGUAAGUAACUAUGCACGUCUUGACGGUACCUAAUCAGAAAGCCACGGCUAACUACGUG
This 497-nucleotide ribosomal RNA is filed under the name uncultured bacterium. Its description in RNAcentral is "partial 16S ribosomal RNA". It matches the Rfam family "Bacterial small subunit ribosomal RNA", at positions 28 to 507 of the family's 1533-position model. The record is from RNAcentral.